GUGAUGGCUUUCAUCGACUGCAGGAUAAAGUCCAAACUGCUCAAGCUCACAUUUAAUGCCUUCUAUAAAAAGAAACCAUCCUGUCUUCCAGAUUAAUUCCUAUCACAUCACUCCUGGAAUUUUCACCAGUCUCCGUGAUUCACAUUUCUGUGGCGUCCUGGUGCCUGAAUAGAAGAGCCUAGAAUGUCUUCUGGAAUGUGUCUUUGAGGACUGAAUGACUCAUCUGGCAGCAGUAAAACAAAGUCACUUCAGGUGCUAUUAGCAAUGCAUGCAUUUCAAUAAUUCCCAGAGCCAAUUUGUUAAAUGACUCAGGAUAAUUUCAGAUCAACAGCGGGUUAUACUCAGAACAUUUUCCCCUCUGGGCUAAGUGAGCAUUCCAAGAAUGUAGUUAACAAGGAGCUGCACUAAUUAGCCAAUCCCUGGCUCUGUGUUGCCUCUCUGAGUACUGGAGCUAAUUAAUUGGCUAAUAAACAGUUAGAUUUCUCAAAUAUUCCUUACCUCUACCCAGAACAUAUUAAGAGGAAUCACUUAUAUCUGUUGUUGUUUACCUCAAUCAACAAGUAUUUAUUGAUAAACAUAAAGCCACUUCAGGUGUGACAACAGUAACAUGGCUGGCAAAAAUGGGAACAUAGCUCUCGGAAAAAUCAUAGCAGACAAGGGAAGGUUAGAUGACAGUAGGAAGAA
Molecule: long non-coding RNA, 684 nt
Organism: Cercocebus atys (sooty mangabey)
Lineage: Eukaryota; Metazoa; Chordata; Mammalia; Primates; Cercopithecidae
Exons: 2
Source: RefSeq, a predicted model, not a curated record